This is a long non-coding RNA of Felis catus (domestic cat), 8547 nucleotides long. RefSeq lists it as uncharacterized. The transcript is spliced from 2 exons. The record is from RefSeq and is a predicted model, not a curated record. NCBI's taxonomy places the organism in Eukaryota, Metazoa, Chordata, Mammalia, Carnivora, Felidae.
GGGCAGGGGGCGCGGGGGGCGCGCCGGCCCCGGGAGCGCCCCGCCCCUUGCCGAGCAGGCCCGGAGCGCCGAGGGCACCGCCCAGGGCCCCCCUCUCGCGGGGAUGGAGCGGGUCUGGCAGCAGGUGCCUCGGCGCUCCCGCUGAAUUUGAGGCCUCGCGGGGCGGGGCGGGGCGGGGCGGGGGAAGGCUGGCCCGGUGAGGCCCGGCCGAGGGGGACCUGUUGGAAUAACGUCCCCGCUUCUCUCCUCCACGGGCAGAGAGGGAGGCAGGUCCCAAGGAUGGUCGGUGGGAGCGGGUGCGGGGACGGAUGCCUGGUCUGCGCCAAGGCGCUUUCCUUCCUCUCUACCCGCUGGCCGUCACCAGGGGUCCUCAAGGAAUGCGCAGUUGUCAGUUUUCCCCUGGGGGAGUCCAAGGGCGCAGCCCUGGGACUGGUGAGGCGCCGGCCCCCAGGUCAUUUGGCCACCGGGAGGCAUCCUGGAUUACGGGUGAGGUGGGAGACAGCGUUGAUCUCCCCUGGCUUACUUUGACAGGUGCUCAGCCAGGAGUCCCUGCUGAACAGUAGAGAGAAAGGAGAGGGGGGCUGGCUUGGUUUCCCGUGUGAGUAACCUGGUGCAGGAACUUCGGGAGGCGGCCAGUACUCUGCCUUCAGCCUGUUCCUGUCCCUGCCCCAUUGGUUGGGGACUGACUUUGCAGAUCUGGCCAGGCCCCUUUGCUUUGGGGCUGUCCUGGGCGGCCGCUGUCAUCCACCUCUCUGGCUUGUUUUCCACCCGCUUUCUUGUGAGGGAGGGGGGGCCCCCCUGUUCCAUGGAUUUUGUUGAGUGAGAGAGAGGCAGAAGUGUAUACGUCCCCCAUCACCAAGUUGGCUUGGACCAGCUUUGGGGGGUGGGGGUGGGUGACAGAGUCCAGGCCCCUAGGUAUUCUCCAUCGGCGGUGGAGUCCAGUGCGGAUCAGGGAGCAGGAGACCUCAGGUGGCCUUUCUGAAGUUUUUCCAUCACUAAUGAAAGAGGGUGUAGGAGCGCCUUCCUUCUAGGAGCUUUCAAAAUCGAAUGAGACGAACGUCCCUUGUGGAUUUUGUACCCCCUGCCCCCCGCCCUGCCACACACACCUUUUAUAUCUGGUUUACCCUGGAGUAUGUUCCCAAGAUGUGCACUGCACAGGGAGAAGGAAGCAGAGGCUUGGGGACUUGGGGAGACUCGGAGCUUCUGCUCUUGCCUUAACUUUUCCAAACAGCAUCCAGAGUGAUGCCUGAGAUAGUGCCAGAUCUCUAGGUUUCCUCUCUGGAUUGAAUCAUUAAGGAAAGAUGACACUACGCGCAGCGUAACUUCGGCAGUGUGUGUUUCUGUCCUCCGAAAAUUGGAAACCAGCGUAUGGCCUCUGUGGAAGCUCGUUCGCUUCCAAACAGAAUAAUGGAUUUUCCAGACCUUCGUAGCCCAUUCGCACACCAGACAGUAAGAAGGUUCUGCUGACCACAGGCUAUUCCCCCAGCAUUGGGGUGGGUGCUUCAGGGGGUCCAGAAAGAAGAGGGGAGAGGGCUGACAGGCGGGGGUCUAGACAAGCCCCUGCUUAGGAGGUAAAAGAACCAAGUAAAGCCAGCAUUCUCGAGGGCCGUUCGGGCAGGGCCCGGCAGGAGUUGGCAGACAUCUUGGGCUCCUCCAGUCCCCCUGAAACGGACUGUGAUUCCACCUCCUGAAGCUGAACUUCUCCCUGGUUUUUGGAGAGUCACAGGGUUCUUGAGACAGGGAGCAUUUCCCAAGACACGUUGGUCUUGUGUGUGGCCUGACACACUUCUUCGUGGCAGGAUUGACAGGGCUGAUGGGGGCCAGGACAGGGUCAAUCAGACUUGCCCCUUUUCUGUGACAGCACCACAAUAACUUGCCUUCCAGCUUACGUGGCCCAGGCUCCCUUGACCUCUGGCUUGUGGCUGAGGUCUGCAGGUCUCUCCCGAGCCAGUGAUGGGCUUGCCCUAGGGGCCUGGAGCGCUGCCCCGUCGCCUGGAACGUGUACAGAUCAGGGCUCCUCCAAGAAUUGGCCACGGGCCCUGGGCAGUGCGAGAGGGGAGCACGCCAGGUGGCCAGAUGUCAGAGAGGUGGUGUUCUAGGAUCCUGAGGCUGGUUGGAGGAAUUUUGAGCUGGAUCUGUGCUGUGCACCUACGUGGCUCUUUCUCCCGAAUUGUGUUUUCCUUCCCAGUUUGCUCCUCUCGUCUGGAGGUAGUGAUGUGCAGAAAGGGAAUGAGCAGUCACUGAGAGAUAGGGAAACACCCAGGGCCUCACCAGGGGGCGGACCAGGUGAGCCUCUCUAGGGACACAGCGGGCCCAGACAGGUGAGUGCUGUGCUCAGGGUGCUGCAUCUUGCAGGUGUGUGGACCCAGACCCCCAGGGCAGGGGUAGAUGAAUAGGAAAGGUAGGAAGCAACAGUAGCCAGGGCAGUAACAGCGCUGGGUUACUUAUUUUGCGUGGUGCAUUCUCCUGUGCUUGGAAACGUGUUUGGCUGCCGGGUUUGGGAAUGCCCUGAGCGCUAGGGUCGGAGGGGGCUUAGCCUCCCGUCCUUAAGCAUCUCGAGCCCCGGAAGAGCUCCGGACGCUCUUCCCAGACUAAUGCACCAGAUGUGCAAUCUUGUGAGAAUUCCCGAGGGUUCACAGACCCCAAGUUCAAGAUUUGCUCCAGUCUGGUAACCCCCCCCCCCCGCCACCACCACCACCACCACGUGACUUGCUACAGGCUCAGGAAUGCUGUUUCCAUUCCUCAGGACCUCGCGUGGCAGUUUGUGGUGGCUGUUGGUGUCAUUUCUUCUGAAUGCCCCUCGUUCGCCGCUAAGGUUUGCAGGGUAGUUUCCCUGAUUGGAGACUCUCCCGCUAGUCCGUGCUUGGCACCUGUUGGAGAGGUGUCAGGAGGCUUUGCUUAAUGGUCAUGAUCGUGAGCCGUGGCCCCUGGGGCUCAGGCAGGGUGCCUGAGUGGACCUGUUUCUUGAGGAGCAGUGUAAUCGUGAGGGGAGCCUGGGGCCAAGGUUCAGCUCUGGCAGCUUGCCUUCCAGUCCUUAAUCUGCUUUGACCUUGGACCCAGCAGAUAACAGCUCUCUGAGCUGUAUUUCCUCAUUUCCCAAAGACUUAUCUGGGGUCCUGAGCAGAGCAAACGCUACAAAGUAUGUGGAAUUGAGUCAGCUCUGCACGUUCUCACGGGCCGUGAUAAGACACGGGAGAAUCUGCCCAGCUUUGGGUCUGGCCAGGCUACGGGCAGCGUCUUGGUAUCCUUUCUCAGGCCAGGCCCAAAGAGCUUUUGGGUCUUGUCUACCUGGCCGGGGCUCAGCCUGGACCAAAAAGGCUCCCUGCAAGUUCAGAAGCAGUGGGGGAUGCGGGACUCAUGGGGACAAAAGAAGAAGCCACCUAUAGAUAGAGGAGGCCAUUCCUCUCCCCACCACUGGAUUCCAUUCCUGCAGGAUGGCUCCAUUCUUUCCCCACGUGCCUCUCCUUAAGUCUUGGGCUCAGGCUUGCCAUCUUUAAGGAGCCCUGGGGAAGAAGUACUUUUAGGCAUAGAGAGAGGGCAAAUGCAGCCUCUCCGAGUCCCACAGAUGCAGACUGGCUCGUCGGCCGGCUUCGGGGAGCACUAGAAUAAGGGGUCAGUUUCCCUAGGAGAUGCCAGGCUGCAGUGGCCCACGUCCUCCUGUUCACCAGCCUCCCCGCUCUCUCAUAAAGAGAAUCCGACCGGAUCAGUCCAUUGCCACUCAGUAUGGCGCAGCCCUACUGGGCAAAGCUGUUCCAGGGUUAGCCUGUCCAGCCCCAUUCAGUGGUGUGGCUUCGCCAUGGGCGCUGGAUUCAGUCUGCUGUGGCCAGAGUGGCAGGGCUGACUUCCCUCUGUACCUGGGAGCAUGAGCCAUGUCAGCUAAUGCAAAAAAAAAAAAAGAAAAAGAAAAAGAAAAAAGAAAAAAGAACAACUCCCCUCCCCCUGCCCGGGGCCAAGGGUAACUUGCUUCCUAGGGGGACUGAAUAGUAGGCAAGCAUUUAGAGGCUCCCCAGGGUCCUGGAUACUAGGCAGGUGCUUCCUGGCUGGAGUCAGAAAGAUGAAGAAAAUAGCCUUGAAGGUCACCUUUUUCUUCUGACACCCCACCUGAGAAAAUCUCUUUAGGUGAGCAGGUUGGAGGACACCGAACACGGAGGUCUCCCACCCUUGGCCUUGAUCUUAUUCUUCCCUGACUUGAAAUGCAUUUCCUUGUGUCCAAUGAACGCUUCUUGCCUUUCCAAGGCCGCCCUCCGUGUCUGCCCUUGGCUCUGAGAUUCACUUGCCUUUUCGGUCCUACCACAGUGGGUAGCGUUUAAUCAUCCGUACGCAGUUUCUCACCUGACAUAGAUUUUGUUUGUCAGACUAAGUCAUAUGCUUCCCGAGCGUGGAGACCCCACCACCUCCCCCACCCCGCCCCCAUUGUCCCUGGCAUGAUACUGAACACCCACAGGCCUAUGACAUUCUUCAGUAAGUCUGUGCACUGUGAAGAUGUGCGUCCACAUGUCACCACUGUCACGGUGUGUCCUCAGAAGGCUCGUGAAUCCCCAGCCACAGCUGUGCAUCUGGGGGCUUAUUUAUGAGAAGCAUUAGUAUGACCGUGAGAUCUGACACGUUUGCUCUCUGUGUCAUUGGAUGCCCGGGAGCAGUGUCCGCGGGGCUUGGCUGUUCCUGGCGGCCUGCCAGGUGGUGGUGUUCUUGGAGAGAGGAGUGGCCCGCUGCCCGGCCUCCGUGGGCACCUUGGGGAUCCCAUCCUGCAGGUGCAGUCUGGAGCCUCUGCCGAGGUGGCCGCGAGGGGGGUGGGGGGUGGGGGCCGAGCCUGAAGGGAGAGCCUGGCCUCCACAUUCCCGAUCGGCUGCUUGUGCUGAAUCAUGUUCGUUUCACCCACAAAGAGAAACCUUCCUUUUUUAAAAUCCACCGCUCUCUGACUGGGCUGGGCACAGGCAUUUCCAGUAAUAAAGGUGCGGGAGGAAUCCAAUGCCGGGGCCUGCUUUGCUGGUUUGCAAGGCCAGGGACACGGUAGCCUCUGUAUGGGCAGCCAUGACCGCGGGGCUUGGGCCUGGGCCGGCUGUCCCGACUUCACAUCUGGUGGGCUGGGGGCCUUCUCUCUGGAACACAUGCCCACCUCCUCAGAGAUGACCAGGAUCUGCUUUGCUGUUUGUCUUCAGAGGUCCUGAAAUACCCUGGGGUGCACGCAUGGACACCCCUCCUUGGUGACCUGGGACACCCCCUGCCCCUUCCCCCAAUGUCAUUUCAUUUCCGUGUGUGCUUCUCUCGGGCAGAGGCCAUAGAUCAUGUACUGGGCACAGUGGGUUUUCAAGAGAUCCUUGUCAAAUGGAUUUUAAACUUCUUCUCGGGCAUACUUCCCCGAGACCACUGCUCCUCUUUCUCAGCAACCAGCGUGGUCUGGCUCAGACUUCUGGAGUGUUUCCACCCCAAGCACGGAGCCAGGUUAUCCUUCCAGUAACCUGCAGAGUUGGUAUCGUCCCCCCUCCCCGUUGUCUAGGUGCCAGCAGCUCCUGUGCACCCUGCACGCCACCUGCAGGUGAGAGCCACCUGGCACAAGGGUCACCCAGGUGGCCAGGGUCUUUUCUCUGGCUUCCCCACCGGGAUGCUCAAGGGGUGGGGUCGACAUCCCCACUUUAAGGAGGGGAUCUCCGCCUGCCAUUUCUCCCGCCCUUCUCCUCCAAGAGCAGCGCCGUGGGUGACCCUCAAGCAAAAUCACACACACACACACACACACACACACACACACACACACAGCCGUGUCCUGCAUGAGCAGCCUGUUCUGAUGAGGACGGUGACCUUGGAACACUCGGGGGGGGGGGGGUCGGGGUAGUGUGGGCUCGCCACAGUGCCUCUUCUCCCCACCCCACCCACCAGCCCUGAGCAGGGCCCACGUGGCUCUCCGGGAGCAUUUCCCAGCUUUUUUUUUUUUUUUUUUUAACUUUUAUUAGCUCAAACUCCUGGCUGCCACAGCCAUAUGGAGUUCUGCUGACGGCUGCUGCUCAAAGGCAUGUGGCAUUUUGAUGUUUCUAACUUCAUCUUCACCAGCGUAGAUGCAGGAGUCCGGCUGGGAGUGGGGGGUGUCUGAAUGUGUUGCCUGGUAGAGAGGUGGCCUCCUCCAGGCUGCCCCCCACCCCUGCUCAGCCCUGCAUGCCCGCAACUAGUUUUCUGCUUCUCUCUGCAUUUACACGUUUCUCUCUGUGUCCCUUCCUUUCCUCGGGAGGGUUGGUGAUGGUUGGGGGUGGGGGGGAGAAGCAAACGCUUUGCCUCUUAUUAGUCGUCCUGCUUUUGGUCAACUUCCCCGUGCAGCACACCCCAGCCUCCAUGGAGAAAGGGGUCCAGCUCAUUUCGGUCGCCUGCUUGGUGGGCCGGUGCCUUGGGCCGGAGAGUGGUCAUUGGAGACACCCCUCCUGUCUGCACGUUGCUUUCCAGUCCGCAAAGCGUUCUCCCUCGUUUCUUUUGCUCCUUAAAUAGUCUUGGGAGGUUGGCAGGAUAUUGCUUACAGCGAAAAAAAAAAAAAAAAAGAAUGGCGGGGGGGGUUUAAUAUUAUGAAAGCACUGUAUAAUCAUUGUAGUAAAAUAUGAAAAGGCAGAUGAGCAAAAAUAAGACAGCAGGAAUGAAUUCCUCUAUUUCACAGUCGAGUGCCUGUUCUUCGAGGCACUCUUCUAGGCGCUGGGGAGGCAGCAGGCAGGCAAAAAGGAAAAGCGGUGCUCGUAAUUGGUUCCCUGCCGCCUGGAGGGUUUGUGAGGAUCCAAGAGGCAGGCGCUGAGCACUGGCCCAGAGGAAAGGGCUCCGCGGAGGUGGCUCCCUUCGCUGGCAACCGGGAGCCCUGGUUCCGGUCCCAGCUCAGACCGUGCCGGGUGCCCAGCUCCUUCCCUUCUCUGGCCUCGGUUUCCCCCUCUACAAAAUGAAGGGGCGGUGUAUGGUUGAAAUGACCACUGAGGCUCUCUGCCAUCGCUCGGGUUCCCCCAGGCUCCAGUGGUUUCACAAAGACCCAUUCAUUCCCAUCUGUGCCCAGUUAUGUCUUCCAGGCCCUGAGCUGGAUUCACAUCCAUGCCCUGAGGUCACUCCCUUGUCCCCAGCCAGUGGAAGAGCCGGGGACACGGGGAGGGGCUUCUGGAGGGAAACAGCCCGCACACCGGCCACUGCAGAGGCCAGCCUGGCGCGCACGCAGCAGCCCUUGCCGACCUACCCUUCCUCUGACGGAGGAGGGUGGUAGUCACACAGUGUCAAGGGCAGAAGCUGGGGCAGCGGACUUGCACACCGUCCUGUAGCGUCCUGGAGGCUGCGAUUCGCGAGCAAAGACCCAUGUUCAGAGAGGCCUGCGUUGUCCUGUGAGCCCUUCACCCAGGGUGUCACAAAGGACAAUGAGGCCUGUCUCCAGGCUCAGCCAGGCCCUGCGGGGACCUGCAGCCUGUGGAACCCCCUCAGGCUCCCUCUCUUCCCCCUUUGCUCCCAGGAGGUCGCCCGGGGCCCCUCUCACAUCCGCCUCUCUCCUCUCCCUCCCGCAGGGCAGGCCUAGCUCAGCGUUCAAGAUUCUGCUCCUUGGUGCCUCUCUCCUGCCCACAGAGACCCAGUCUCCCAGCCUGGGCAGAGCGGGGGUGGGGUAGGGGCCUUGUCCUCUUUGGCAACCCCCCCCCCCCCCCCCGCCCAGCCAAGCGCCUGCUGCUACCUGGCCACACUAGUACGUGGUUCUUUCAUUCCGCAGACACUCCCGGCACCUGUGGGGUGGGGUGGGUGGCCCCUGGAAGGAGUGAGCAAAGCAGGGUCCGCCCCGGUGCUUGUUUUUAGCGGAAUCAGAGGAGCCACUGGUUCUGUAGACGGGCGGCGAGUGAGUGUAGGGCCAGCCGUAGCGGGUCACAUUCCCGCUCUGCCAUUGACUCUGGCCACAGACGCCGAGAGGUUGGGCUGGGCAGAGAGCCAGGGAAGUGGCCGCAGGGGAUGGCGGGGGGGUGGGGGGGGGUGGCAUUCGCAGGUGCAGGGCACGCGCCACAGGCUAGCUUCUUUGCAAACUCCUUUUCCCCACAGGGCUUCUGGGUGGACACAGGCGCUGAGCCUGGAGGCUGCAGGAAGUCAACCUCCCUCUCCUCCUCCCCUGCCCCGAAGGACCCCUCCCAGCAGCCCUGGUGCUUGGGUCUGGCCCUCUCCGGUGCAUACCUCCCUCCAGGCCCUUAGCCUAGGCUCCCCAAGAGCAUCCCAGUGCCUCACUGGGAGCUCCGACUCUCUUUUUCCCCUCCAGGGACCCCCCGUCCACACACAGCUGCUUCCCCCCCAGAGCCACCGGCUGCCCAAGGAGGCUUGCAGGACACCCCUCUCCCACUGAGGGCCACCAGGCAGGGGUGCGACCCCCGGGGGAGACUGGAAGCCCUCCCCACUCAAGCACGGCAACCACCUGCAGGGAGCCCGGGACUCAUACUGACGCUGCUCAAGCCGGCCAUCCUGGGGGGGGACAAGGAGGGUGUCCUCUGUCCUCUUUGCACCUGCCAGGGCCCAGGUGUUGAAGAUGCCACCUCCAGCAUCAUACAGUAAACUCAGUGUGACUCUGACGUA